ACCUGGUUGGCUCAGUUGGUAGAGCACGUGACUCUUGAUCUUAGAGCUGUGAAUUUGAAUCCCACACUGAGUG
This 73-nucleotide transfer RNA is filed under the name Canis lupus familiaris (dog). It matches the Rfam family "tRNA". From Rfam's summary of the family: Transfer RNA (tRNA) molecules are approximately 80 nucleotides in length. Their secondary structure includes four short double-helical elements and three loops (D, anti-codon, and T loops). RNAcentral also lists the same sequence under 3 other names. Lineage: Eukaryota; Metazoa; Chordata; Mammalia; Carnivora; Canidae. The record is from Rfam by way of RNAcentral.